This 253-nucleotide ribosomal RNA is filed under the name uncultured bacterium. RNAcentral's name for it is "partial 16S ribosomal RNA". It matches the Rfam family "Bacterial small subunit ribosomal RNA", at positions 524 to 776 of the family's 1533-position model. The record is from RNAcentral.
UACGUAGGGGUCGAGCGUUGUCCGGAGUUACUGGGCGUAAAGCGUGCGCAGGCGGCUCAUCGCGCUCGGCGUGAAAGCCCCCGGCUCAACCGGGGAGGGUCGUCGAGGACGGAUGGGCUUGAGGGUAUCAGGGGUUGGUGGAAUUCCCGGUGUAGUGGUGAAAUGCGCAGAUAUCGGGAGGAACACCAAUGGCGAAGGCAGCUCGCUGGGACGUUACUGACGCUGAGACGCGAAAGCGUGGGGAGCAAACAGG